RNAcentral lists this signal recognition particle RNA (289 nucleotides) under Cebus imitator (Panamanian white-faced capuchin). RNAcentral describes it as "Metazoan signal recognition particle RNA (ENSCCAG00000003195.1)". It matches the Rfam family "Metazoan signal recognition particle RNA". Rfam says of the family: The signal recognition particle (SRP) is a universally conserved ribonucleoprotein. It is involved in the co-translational targeting of proteins to membranes. The record is from Rfam by way of RNAcentral. Lineage: Eukaryota; Metazoa; Chordata; Mammalia; Primates; Cebidae.
GCUGUGUGUGGUGGCACACACCUGUAGUCCCAGUUGCUCGGGAGGCUAAGGCAGGAGGAUCGUGUGAGCCCAGGAGUUCUGGGAGCUAUGCCGAUUGGGUGUCCACACUAAGUUCAGCAUCAGUAUGGUGGCUUCUUGGGAGUGGGAGACCACCAGGUUGCCUACGAAGGAGUGAGCCAGCCCAGGCUGGAAAUGAAGCAGGUGAAUACUUCUGUGCUGAUCAGUAGGAUCAGGCCUGUGAAUAGCCACUGCACUCCAGCCUGGGCAAUAUUGCAAGACACUAUCUCCU